UCUGUACGGAAAAGGAGCUCUGAUAGCUUUGACCAAGACUUUUCAGUAGGAAAUGCUUCAAAAUACAAAGCAAGAGCUAUUUUCAAGAAAGACCUAAAUUUAUAUUAGCAUGAGAACUGACUAAUACAGUGAGCAUGGAAAACUUGGAUGCCACAUGUAGAAGAGUUGGAGCCACAAAUAGAAGAAGGCUGGAUCCCUGAAUAUUGCUUGGAAAAAAAGAGUUGAGAACCAAUCAGGAACAUGUGUGCUAGACUUUAAAUGAACAAGAGAUAAGCUUAUAUCAACUUUGUGCCAUUAUAUGUGUUGGAGUUGUUUUGUUACAGCAGCUAUAGAUAUGUAAAUAGAUCUACCUACUGUCCUUUGAAAAUGCCUUUCCCUUAGAAUUCUUGUUCUCUCCUUCAGUUACUCACAUCUAAAAAUCAUUCAAGGCCUAAACCAAGUCCAAUCACCUUCAAGCGGCUUUCUUCCACUCCCACCCACCAUAGAGAUCUCUCUUUCCCUCACCUUCCUGUAGCACUUUGUUAUCUAUAUCUCUCAUGUGCACUUACCCCAGCUCCAAUUCUGGAUGUCUUGUUUUCCUAGUGAGACUGUGAGCUCUUCAAGGUAAGGAUCAUGUCUUUGUGCUUCCUUCUUUUGUGACUCUGAAGUGCAUAACAUGGUGAUGUGUCUUGGGAAUUUUCAAUAAAUAUUCAUGGGAAAAAUGAACAUAUCAAUGUAUUAAGCUCAAUAAAGUCCAUUUUCCUAAAAACAGUCCUUCA
This is a long non-coding RNA of Nomascus leucogenys (northern white-cheeked gibbon), 758 nucleotides long. RefSeq lists it as uncharacterized. The transcript is spliced from 2 exons. The record is from RefSeq and is a predicted model, not a curated record. Lineage: Eukaryota; Metazoa; Chordata; Mammalia; Primates; Hylobatidae.